UACGGAGGGUGCGAGCGUUAAUCGGAAUUACUGGGCGUAAAGCGCGCGUAGGCGGUUUGUUAAGUCGGAUGUGAAAUCCCCGGGCUCAACCUGGGAAUGGCAUUCGAUACUGGCCGACUAGAGUACGAGAGAGGGAGGUAGAAUUCCACGUGUAGCGGUGAAAUGCGUAGAUAUGUGGAGGAAUACCGGUGGCGAAGGCGGCCUCCUGGCUCGAUACUGACGCUGAGGUGCGAAAGCGUGGGUAGCAAACAGGAUUAGAUACCCUGGUAGUCCACGCCGUAAACGAUGUCUACUAGCCGUUGGGAGACUUGAUUUCUUAGUGGCGCAGCUAACGCACUAAGUAGACCGCCUGGGGAGUACGGCCGCAAGGUUA
RNAcentral lists this ribosomal RNA (373 nucleotides) under uncultured prokaryote. RNAcentral describes it as "bacterial SSU rRNA". It matches the Rfam family "Bacterial small subunit ribosomal RNA", at positions 524 to 896 of the family's 1533-position model. The record is from RNAcentral.